UGGGGAAUAUUGGACAAUGGGCGAAAGCCUGAUCCAGCCAUGCCGCGUGUGUGAAGAAGGUCUUCGGAUUGUAAAGCACUUUAAGUUGGGAGGAAGGGCAUUAACCUAAUACGUUAGUGUUUUGACGUUACCGACAGAAUAAGCACCGGCUAACUCUGUGCCAGCAGCCGCGGUAAUACAGAGGGUGCAAGCGUUAAUCGGAAUUACUGGGCGUAAAGCGCGCGUAGGUGGUUUGUUAAGUUGGAUGUGAAAUCCCCGGGCUCAACCUGUGAACUGCAUUCAAAACUGACUGACUAGAGUAUGGUAGAGGGUGGUGGAAUUUCCUGUGUAGCGGUGAAAUGCGUAGAUAUAGGAAGGAACACCAGUGGCGAAGGCGACCACCUGGACUAAUACUGACACUGAGGUGCGAAAGCGUGGGGAGCAAACA
RNAcentral lists this ribosomal RNA (427 nucleotides) under uncultured bacterium. RNAcentral's name for it is "partial 16S ribosomal RNA". It matches the Rfam family "Bacterial small subunit ribosomal RNA", at positions 355 to 774 of the family's 1533-position model. The record is from RNAcentral.